This is a long non-coding RNA of Erpetoichthys calabaricus (reedfish), 444 nucleotides long. RefSeq lists it as uncharacterized. The transcript is spliced from 3 exons. NCBI's taxonomy places the organism in Eukaryota, Metazoa, Chordata, Cladistia, Polypteriformes, Polypteridae. The record is from RefSeq and is a predicted model, not a curated record.
GGAGCAUCACUCCAAAAGCCAGAGCGGCAUGAUGGGGGUUAACCAGUGGCCCAGACAUAAGGGUGACACAUUACUGGUGUCCUAGCUGAAGGGAUAAGCGGCAGAGGAGUGUGUCAAUAAAAGAGGAGGUGACACAUAACAAGAAAGAAAGAAAGAAAGAAAGAAAGAAAGAAAGAAAGAAAGAAAGAAAGAAAGAAAGAAAGAAAGAAAGAAAGAAAGAAAGAAAGAAAGAAAGAAAGAAAAUAAAGGAGGGGUAUUAAAUGGAGUACAACACAAAAAUGAAAUUAAAAGUAGAGGUGAAAAGAAAGAAAGAAAGAAAGAAAGAAAGAAAGAAAGAAAGAAAGAAAGAAAGAAAGAAAAUAAAGGAGGGGUAUUAAAUGGAGUACAACACAAAAAUGAAAUUAAAAGUAGAGAUGAGUAAAGAGAAUGAGCGAAAGAAAGAAA